GUAGGUGAACCUGCGGAAGGAUCAUUAACACGUAUCCACGUAUCAACCAUCUGUGAACUGUUCGUCCCUGUGGGGGGAUCAGAGUGGUGCAAAAAUUUCAUGACUUCUUCAAAACAGUGGGGUAUUCUCCGAAAGGGUUUACCAAGUCGUGCUUUGCAUCUGUCCUCUUCGGAGGGCACCUCUGAUUUCCUUGCAGCAUUUUUAAAUUGCAAAAUUUAUUUUGUCACUGUUUUUUUUCUUCAUUAACUUUUAUUAACCCCAUGUACCUUUCAAUAGUACUGAAAACUUUUUCUUUUUCCUUUCUUUCGAGAAAGGGACUGAAAAUACAUACGAAACGCUGAACAACUCUUAACAACGGAUAUCUUGGUUCUC
Molecule: unclassified non-coding RNA, 372 nt
Filed under: rhizosphere metagenome
Description: partial ribosomal RNA internal transcribed spacer region
Source: RNAcentral